ACAAAAAACCAACCUGGCUAUUCCUAGGAAUGAUAAAAUAUCUUCCUUUGUAGAAGGAACAGUUAGAGAAUGGAUCAGAAUCUUUCUAUCUAGGGUAAUAGCUUUUUAGGUUGGGGUAAUUGUUCGUCCCAAAUAGAUGACCAAAGGACUGGACUUUAGAAGGUGAGACCCUGUAACCUUUACUGAAAAUGAAAUUCAGAAGAGCAGAGGUGUCAGUUUGGCAAAUUUUUUGAGAGGGGUUACACAGAAGAAUGCAAUCUAUAUAGUGGACAGUCCUAGAUUUAGGGAGAGAAAGAGAGAAGGUAAUUCAGAAACCAGGGCCUGGCCAAAUUGGUGUGGGCUGUGCUGGAAUCUCUGAGGUAGAACAGUCCAGGUAAGUUGUGUAGAAAAGUGGGUGUCAGGAUCUGUUCAGGAAAAGGCAAAUAUGUUCUGUGACUGGGUAUCUAGAGGGAUAGAGAAAGUAGCAUCCGGAGAUCUAAGAUUGAGAAAUGAGAAUUCCCCAAGGGGAUAGUGGGAAGAAGUGUAUAAGGAUUAGCCACAACAGGAUGUACAGGAACUAUGGCAGAAUUAAUGGACCUGAGGUUUUGAACCAGGAGAUAGGUUCCACUAAGUUUCCUAACUGCUAAUGUAGGGGUUUUAAAGGGGGAAGAGGUAGGGCAAAGGAGGUUUUUCCUUAAGAGAUCAGAGGUGAUAUACUUAAGGCCCCUGAGGCUCUGGAGUGAAAGCAGGUAUUGAGGUUGGGUGAUGUACCUGGUAGAAUUCAGUAAUUGCUUGACAACAGGAGAAUGUUUAGCAGCAGAGGGGUUCUGGACAUCCCUGACAAGGAGGUCUACUUGAGAAGCUGCUCAGCUCACCCUGUCAAGUGGGAGACUUCACAAUCUGUCACCCAGGAAGAGAGAGAAAGGGCCAGAAGUCAACUUGCAUUAGAAAAUGUGCUAUUACCAAGAAGCAUGUCACCAAGACAACCGAAUAGAACUGUCCAGAGUAUGUCCUUCUGCAGAAAUAUCAAUUGAGACAACUAUCCAGGCAUGAAAUACCUUCAUAAGAACUAAACAAAACAGGGAAAGCUCCUUAAACCAGAAGAGAGUUGUGGCAAAAAAAGACACACUCAACCAAGAGUUGCGAUGAAAGCAAUGUGUCACAUGAAUUGCCAAUACUUACACUAGUUAAAAGAAGAAAGAAACAAAAGAAAAUAGAGCAUCAUUAUAUAAAAGAGUCAACUUAUCAAGCAGAACCAUCCCUUUAUUCUUCUUCUUUCCCCUACAAUGAAGUGAUUCUUUACAACAUCCUGUGCUCCUUUUAAAGCCCAUUGGUUCCUUGUGGUGCUGUCAGAAUGUACAUGAGGAACGUCUACUGAAGAAAGGAAAGCCUCUCAGAAGCCAAAUACCUGAAGAAAACUCACUCUGCCUCUCAUAAGAAUCCAUCAGUGGCCAAUAUCACCUCAGUGUUUCCACAGGACGUAUCCCAGAUGAUUGAGUCGGGGGAAAGUCUACAAAAGUUUGGAUGUUGAUUAUUUCCUAAUAUCCCAGAAAUGAGAGGAAAGCCUAAACAUGAUCUAGGAUUAAGGAUACCAGCUUUUGCAGAAGAACUAAAACAACUACCCAUGUCUAAACAAGCAACUACUAGACUCUUGGGCUUCCCAUUCACAACUGCCCAUUGUUGGGUUAGCUGGACUACUGACUAGUCACCAGCCAACAAACAGGCAUUAAAUUCACCAUCCUAAGGAAAUUAUUCAUACUCAAAACAUAACAGCCAAAAGUCAUGCACUUGAAGACUUCUGUCUCUACUCCUCUAUUCUACGGAUAAAGUGAAACCAUAACUUUCAGGAAAAGAAAACAUGAGAAUGUAGAUUACAAAAGUCGGAACUGACAAAAUACAUAAAGACCAUGGGAUGGAAUUUACAUUUUGAGGAUGGCAGAGUAAUGAAUCAGAAAGAGCCUUUGACACCAACGACUCACAGGAAGUCCCAACAUGUCUCCUUAAUAUCUUCAUAGUGGUCAUAUCAUUUGAAUAUGAAGAAGAAAAAGAGCAGGUGGAGGUAUUCAACCAUGCCGUCAAUCAACUAUGCAAUGCAACUAUGCAAUGACCAAUUAAAAGAAUAAGAAAUCUAAAUGAAUAGAUCUUUUAUUAUUAAUUUCAUUUAAUACUGGUUAAGCAAGAGAGACAGUUGAAUUAGGGUUUUUAAAA
RNAcentral lists this small RNA (2187 nucleotides) under Rattus norvegicus (Norway rat). Its description in RNAcentral is "uncharacterized LOC102556133". Lineage: Eukaryota; Metazoa; Chordata; Mammalia; Rodentia; Muridae. The record is from RNAcentral.